AGAGUUUGAUCAUGGCUCAGGAUGAACGCUAGCGGGAGGCCUAACACAUGCAAGCCGAGCGGUAUAGAAUCUUCGGAUUUUAGAGAGCGGCGUACGGGUGCGGAACACGUGUGCAACCUACCUUUAUCUGGAGGAUAGCCUUUCGAAAGGAAGAUUAAUACUCCAUAAUAUAUUGAUUGGCAUCAAUUAAUAUUGAAAGCUCCGGCGGAUAGAGAUGGGCACGCGCAAGAUUAGUUAGUUGGUGAGGUAACGGCUCACCAAGACGAUGAUCUUUAGGGGGCCUGAGAGGGUGAUCCCCCACACUGGUACUGAGACACGGACCAGACUCCUACGGGAGGCAGCAGUGAGGAAUAUUGGACAAUGGGUGCAAGCCUGAUCCAGCCAUCCCGCGUGAAGGACGACUGCCUAUGGGUUGUAAACUUCUUUUGUAUAGGGAUAAACCUCUCCUCGUGAGGAGAGCUGAAGGUACUAUACGAAUAAGCACCGGCUAACUCCGUG
RNAcentral lists this ribosomal RNA (498 nucleotides) under uncultured bacterium. RNAcentral describes it as "bacterial SSU rRNA". It matches the Rfam family "Bacterial small subunit ribosomal RNA", at positions 8 to 507 of the family's 1533-position model. The record is from RNAcentral.